GAUGAAGAACGCAGCGAAAUGCGAUAAGUAAUGUGAAUUGCAGAAUUCAGUGAAUCAUCGAAUUUUUGAACGCACAUUGCGCCCGCCAGUAUUCUGGCGGGCAUGCCUGUUCGAGCGUCAUUACAACCCUCAGGCCCCCGGGCCUGGCGUUGGGGAUCGGCGGAGCCCCCCGUGGGCACACGCCGUCCCCCAAAUGCAGUGGCGGUCCCGCCGCAGCUUCCAUCGCGUAGUAGCUAACACCUCACGACUGGAGAGCGGCGCGGCCACGCCGUAAAACACCCAACUCUUCUGAAGUUGACCUCGAAUCAGGUAGGAAUACCCGCUGAACUUAAGCAUAUCAAUAAGCGGAGGA
This 352-nucleotide unclassified non-coding RNA is filed under the name soil metagenome. RNAcentral's name for it is "partial contains 5.8S ribosomal RNA, internal transcribed spacer 2, and large subunit ribosomal RNA". The stretch from base 1 to 120 matches the Rfam family "5.8S ribosomal RNA", at positions 35 to 154 of the family's 154-position model. The record is from RNAcentral.